RNAcentral lists this unclassified non-coding RNA (214 nucleotides) under uncultured Thelephoraceae. RNAcentral's name for it is "sequence contains ITS2". The record is from RNAcentral. Lineage: Eukaryota; Fungi; Basidiomycota; Agaricomycetes; Thelephorales; Thelephoraceae.
ACACCUCAACUCUCGUGGCUUGCCAACGAUGAGUUUGGACUUUGGGGGUCUUGCUGGCCUGUGGUCGGCUCCUCUCAAAUCGAUCAGCUUCCCAGUGUUUGGUGGCGUCACAGGUGUGAUAACUAUCUACGCUUGCGGCGUUCCCACCAGGUGACCUCCAGUGAUGGGGGCCUCUGGAGCUUACAAAUGUCUCUCCAAGGACAGCCUUUUGAAC